UUUCUUUAAACAAUCUGUGAUUUGUAACAUUAUUCCAGCAUUUAUCUUAUGAAAAACAACAGUAAAUAUGUUAAAUCAAACAUUACACCAAACAUUCAACUAAUUAAUUCACACGCGAUUAAUCGCCGUCUUUCAAAUCGCGAUUUUUUGAUUUGAAAACGAUGAAUCGUUCAGCCUUACCGGACGUCUAUUAGCAGGUUCUAGUUAAACCAAGAGAUUCAUGCCGAUCUGAUGUUGUACAUCAGUAAUGUGUAGACUGUGUAAUCCUCUGUAUCUUCCAGCUGCUGUACCAGCUGUGCCACUGCCUCUGCCUCUGCCUGUUGACUGUGAUAUAAUCUGCAAUCAGUUGUUGCACUUUCCUCUUUUUUUCCCAUUUUGUUUUGUAUGUUGCAGAAAAAAAGAAAAGACAAAAAGUUACUACAGAACGGUCUCGCUUUGGCUUUAGCUGGUUAAAGCUGUGUGGAUGUGAAUGAUGUUUCAGGUGAGUGAUGUGUUGUUGACGGUACAGUGUCUGUAAUUAUAGGUAAUCACACCCAGUAGGAUGAUUUAAUACUAUGUUGCAUUAUGUUACAUCAUGUACAUUCAGAUGAUUUAUAUUUCAAUAAAUGAUUUAUAAUGUAAAAAAAA
Molecule: long non-coding RNA, 627 nt
Organism: Sander lucioperca (pikeperch)
Lineage: Eukaryota; Metazoa; Chordata; Actinopteri; Perciformes; Percidae
Exons: 2
Source: RefSeq, a predicted model, not a curated record